This 495-nucleotide ribosomal RNA is filed under the name uncultured bacterium. RNAcentral's name for it is "partial 16S ribosomal RNA". It matches the Rfam family "Bacterial small subunit ribosomal RNA", at positions 28 to 505 of the family's 1533-position model. The record is from RNAcentral.
GAUGAACGCUGGCGGCGUGCCUAAUACAUGCAAGUCGAGCGAACGGACGAGAAGCUUGCUUCUCUGAUGUUAGCGGCGGACGGGUGAGUAACACGUGGAUAACCUACCUAUAAGACUGGGAUAACUUCGGGAAACCGGAGCUAAUACCGGAUAAUAUUUUGAACCGCAUGGUUCAAAAGUGAAAGACGGUCUUGCUGUCACUUAUAGAUGGAUCCGCGCUGCAUUAGCUAGUUGGUAAGGUAACGGCUUACCAAGGCAACGAUGCAUAGCCGACCUGAGAGGGUGAUCGGCCACACUGGAACUGAGACACGGUCCAGACUCCUACGGGAGGCAGCAGUAGGGAAUCUUCCGCAAUGGGCGAAAGCCUGACGGAGCAACGCCGCGUGAGUGAUGAAGGUCUUCGGAUCGUAAAACUCUGUUAUUAGGGAAGAAAAUAUGUGUAAGUAACUGUGCACAUCUUGACGGUACCUAAUCAGAAAGCCACGGCUAACGACG